RNAcentral lists this non-coding RNA (236 nucleotides) under Paraclostridium benzoelyticum. RNAcentral describes it as "Bacterial small subunit ribosomal RNA". It matches the Rfam family "Bacterial small subunit ribosomal RNA", at positions 1 to 248 of the family's 1533-position model. The record is from Rfam by way of RNAcentral. Lineage: Bacteria; Bacillati; Bacillota; Clostridia; Peptostreptococcales; Peptostreptococcaceae.
AUAUUUGAGAGUUUGAUCCUGGCUCAGGAUGAACGCUGGCGGCGUGCCUAACACAUGCAAGUCGAGCGAUCUCUUCGGAGAGAGCGGCGGACGGGUGAGUAACGCGUGGGUAACCUGCCCUGUACACACGGAUAACAUACCGAAAGGUAUACUAAUACGGGAUAACAUAUAAAAGUCGCAUGGCUUUUGUAUCAAAGCUCCGGCGGUACAGGAUGGACCCGCGUCUGAUUAGCUAG